Macrobrachium nipponense is the source of this 517-nucleotide long non-coding RNA. RefSeq lists it as uncharacterized. Lineage: Eukaryota; Metazoa; Arthropoda; Malacostraca; Decapoda; Palaemonidae. The record is from RefSeq and is a predicted model, not a curated record. The transcript is spliced from 2 exons.
UCAGCCGGGUCGUCUAAUUUGCAUAUUUUCUGCUCUUCCUUGAAUAUCCCCAAGUCGAUUUUGCUGAGGAAAUAGAGAGGUGGAAUCAUCUGCCUUGCUUUAAGUGGUUGUUUUUCUUGUCCCUCGACUUCAACAGUUACUGCUGGGUUUGUUGUAGUUUCUGUCACCUCGGUCGUUGGAGUAGUUACUGCUGGGUUUGUUGUAGUUUCUGUCACCUCGGUCGUUGGAGUAGUUACUGCUGGGUUUGUUGUAGUUUCUGUCACCUCGGUCGUUGGAGUAGUUACUGCUGGCGUUGUUGUAGGUUCUGGCGUCUCGGUCAUUGUAGUAGGUACUGCUGGCGUUGUUGUAACUGGAUUAUCUACGAAUUCUUUGAGUUCAUUCAGCGUAUCAGUGAUUUCAUUUAGCUCUUUCUCAAUUUCCUUCCAGAUGUCGUCACUUGGUAAAGCUUCAGUUGUCGUUUGAGGGGCAGCUGUUGUUGUUGAAAUUUUUCCAGUUGUGUCAGACGCUGCUGUUGUUG